Molecule: ribosomal RNA, 933 nt
Filed under: human gut metagenome
Description: bacterial SSU rRNA
Rfam family: Bacterial small subunit ribosomal RNA
Source: RNAcentral
AGAGUUUGAUCCUGGCUCAGGAUAAACGCUGGCGGCGUGCCUAAUACAUGCAAGUCGGACGAGGGAGACAAAGCUUGCUUUGUCAACCUAGUGGCGAACGGGUGAGUAACACAUAAGCAACCUGCCCACGGAGACCGGGAUAAUCUCUGGAAACGGGGACUAAAACCGGAUAGGCAGUAAUGAGGCAUCUCAAUACUGUUAAAGGUGAGAGACACUGGUGGAUGGGCUUAUGGCGCAUUAGCUAGUUGGUGAGGUAACGGCCCACCAAGGCGAUGAUGCGUAGCCGGCCUGAGAGGGUGAACGGCCACAUUGGGACUGAGACACGGCCCAGACUCCUACGGGAGGCAGCAGUAGGGAAUUUUCGGCAAUGGGGGGAACCCUGACCGAGCAACGCCGCGUGAGUGAAGAAGGUUUUCGGACUGUAAAGCUCUGUUGUAAGGAAAGAACGGUACGGAUAGGAUCCGUAAGUGACGGUACCUUACCAGAAAGCCACGGCUAACUACGUGCCAGCAGCCGCGGUAAUACGUAGGUGGCGAGCGUUAUCCGGAAUUAUUGGGCGUAAAGGGUGCGUAGGCGGACAGUUAAGUCCAUGGUGAAAGCGUGGGGCUCAACCCCAUAAAGCCAUGGAUACUGGCUGACUAGAGUACUGGAGAGGGCAGCGGAAUUCCAUGUGUAGCGGUAAAAUGCGUAGAUAUAUGGAGGAACACCGGAGGCGAAGGCGGCUGCCUGGACAGAGACUGACGCUGAGGCACGAAAGCGUGGGGAGCAAAUAGGAUUAGAUACCCUAGUAGUCCACGCCGUAAACGAUGAAUGCCAGGUAUCGGGGCAACCCGGUGCCGGAGUUAACGCAAUAAGCAUUCCGCCUGUGGAGUAUGCACGCAAGUGUGAAACAUAAAGGAAUUGACGGGGGCCCGCACAAGCGGUGGAGUAUGU